Molecule: ribosomal RNA, 427 nt
Filed under: uncultured beta proteobacterium
Lineage: Bacteria; Pseudomonadati; Pseudomonadota; Betaproteobacteria
Description: bacterial SSU rRNA
Rfam family: Bacterial small subunit ribosomal RNA
Source: RNAcentral
UGGGGAAUUUUAGACAAUGGGCGAAAGCCUGAUCCAGCCAUGCCGCGUGAGUGAAGAAGGCCUUCGGGUUGUAAAGCUCUUUUAGUCGGAAAGAAAGAGUUGCAAUGAAUAAUUGUGAUUUAUGACGGUACCGACAGAAAAAGCACCGGCUAACUACGUGCCAGCGGCCGCGGUAAUACGUAGGGUGCGAGCGUUAAUCGGAAUUACUGGGCGUAAAGGGUGCGCAGGCGGUCUUGCAAGUCAGAUGUGAAAGCCCCGGGCUUAACCUGGGAAUUGCGUUUGAAACUACAAGGCUAGAGUGCAGCAGAGGGGAGUGGAAUUCCAUGUGUAGCAGUGAAAUGCGUAGAGAUGUGGAAGAACACCGAUGGCGAAGGCAGCUCCCUGGGUUGACACUGACGCUCAUGCACGAAAGCGUGGGGAGCAAACA